RNAcentral lists this long non-coding RNA (19713 nucleotides) under Triticum aestivum (bread wheat). RNAcentral describes it as "long non-coding RNA (TAES_LNC027197)". The record is from RNAcentral. Lineage: Eukaryota; Viridiplantae; Streptophyta; Magnoliopsida; Poales; Poaceae.
AAUUUGUUCCUCCAUGCUUAAAGUGCAUUGAACGUGAAUCUACUAAUUCUUCACCUGAAUGUUCAAAUGCUUCAACUGUUACAAAUUCUUCACCUGCCUCUGCUAUCACUAAUUCCUCAUCUGAGGACAUUGCUAGUAUCACUAACGAUGCAGGGUUGAAGGAAUUGUACAUGACAUGCAUGUACAAAAGCCUCAAAGGGCAUCAGACUCUUUGUGAUGUGCUUAAAAAGCAGAUCCUCAACAGGAACCCUAGGAAAGAGGGUAUUGCCUUUGAGAGGAAACUCAAUGCUGAUGGAACAUAUUGGAAGUCUGAGCAGUACCCCAAAACCUCAUGGGUUGCUGCAAAGGGACCUCUAGUUGAUCCAUCUAACUUAUCUGGCUUUACAUGUGAAUCUCCUCAUUCUUCUAACGAGUCAUUUGACUCCAACUAUAAACUGUUCAAAAAUCAGAAUGGUGAAGUAUUUGCUAGAUAUGUUGGCACUAACUGUAGGAACGGUUCUCCUAUGAAGAAAAUCUGGGUUCCCAAGAAGUGCCUAGAAAGUAUUUAGGUGAAUUUCCUCAUGACACCACCUGUGAAGAAUAGGAACCCCAGAUCAAACUCUUCAUAUGGACCAAAUUCUUCAUAUGGAUCCAAGUCCUCAUACGGACCAAAUUCCUCACGUGGAUCAAAUUCCUCAAAAGGAUCAAAGUCCUCAUAUGAUUAUCAUCGUGCUAACAACUCUGUUUCGCAGGGUAGAGCUAAGGGCUAUGAAUAUGUGCAUUAUUCUUCAAACCAAUAUGUUCAUAAGUCCUCGAAGAAUUUCUCUGCUUAUUCAUAUGCUUACCCUAACCCCUCUUAUGUGAAACGAAAUGGAUUGGCUUCUAUGCCACCAUUCUCAUAUGGAGCUCGUAGAGUGAUGAACUCUUUGCCACCCCUUCAGAUAUGGGUGGUGAAGAAAAAUAACUAAUCUCUUCCGCAAGGUCAGUUCUCUAGACGCGCCUUAACGUCUGAAGAAUUUGCUGGGGGCCUGACAAAAAUGCCUGAAAGGACGCAGGCGAAUCAUGAUGAAAUGAACUUUCAUUUCACAUGUCCUCAUACUGUUAUAUCUGUUUUUACUCUUUGAUGACAUUCAUCUGAUGAAUUUGAUAUCAUAUUCUUCACUGAUGAAGUAUAUGAGUUCGUAAGUUGCACUAAUUCAUCUGCAGGAUGAUCAACCCAAAGCCAGUGAGUGGGUCCUCGAUAGUGGAUGUACAAAUCACAUGACUGGUGAAAAGAACCUAUUGAUGGAUGCUCCCUUAUCACCGUCACAUCUAAAGCAUAUCAUCUUUGUUGACAAAGGCAAGAGUCAGGUAUUGGGUCUAGGUAAGGUUGCGAUCUCAAAGGAUCUACACAUGGACAAAGUCAUGCUUGUCGAGUCCUUAGGAUACAACCUCAUGUCUGUCUUAAUGCUUUGUGAUCUUGAUAUGGUUGUUGUCUUUGGCAAGUAUCGUUGUGUUGUGAUCAUGGAAGCUGACCAUUCCAAAGUCUUUGAAGGCUUUAGGAGAGGAGAUCUGUAUAUUGUUGAUUUUUCUACAGGACCACAACCAGCUGUGUGCUUACUUGCAAAAGCUUCAGAAGGCUGGCUAUGGCAUCGACGACUUGGUCAUGCUGGCAUGAGGAAUCUGAACACGCUAGCAAAGAAGAAGCAUGUCAUUGGCAUUGAGAAAUGUCAAAUUCCUCAAGGAUCACUUAUGUGGAGCUUGUGAAGCAGGAAAGAUGACAAAGGCCAAGCAUCCAGCGAAGACUAUCAUGACCACCACUCGACCAUUUGAAUUGCUUCACAUGGAUCUUUUUGGUCCUAAUCAUUAUUCUGCUGUUUCAAAUGAUGCAUCUCUAUAUGGCUUUGUUAUUGUUGAUGACUAUUCUCGUUACACAUGGGUAAACAUUGUCACUUACAAACAUGAAGUGCAGGAAAUCUUCAAACGAUUUUCCUCGAGGGCUUCAAUCAACUUUGGUGUGAAGAUCAAGCACAUCAGAACUGACAAUGGGACCGAGUUCAAGAAUUCCGGUCUUGAUGGCUAUCUUGAUGAACUUGGUAUUACUCAUGAGUUAUCUUCUCCUUAUACUCCUCAGCAGAAUGGCGUCGUGGAGCGCAAGAACAUAACCCUUGCUGAAAUGGCUCGCACUAUGCUUGAUGAAUACAAAACACCUUGUUGUUUUUGAAUUGAUGCAAUUGAUACCGCAUGUCACAUCAUCAACAGAGUAUAUCUUCACAAAUUCUUCAAGAAGACUGCCUAUGAACUCCUCACUGACAAGAAACCCAAUAUGAGUUAUUUCAAAGUCUUCGGUGCUAAAUGUUGGAUUAGAGAUCCUCAUCACAAUGCAAAAUUUGCACCGAAAACACAUGAAGGUUUUAUGCUUGGUUACGAAAAGGACUCGCACACCUACAGAGUCUUCAACAACGUUCUCCACAAGGUUGUUGAAACUGUAGAUGUGCGGUUCGAUGAAACUAAUGGCUCGCAAAAAGAGCACCUAUCGUCUGUGAUAUAUGAACCAGCACCUGAGGAUUCUAUCAAGUUCAAGGCAACUGAGGAUGUCAUUCCUACUGAAGAAUCAGCUGAAGAAUUCAUUCCAUAACACGAAGAACGUCGAGCUAAUGCACCUGAAGACAAUGCUGAAGAAAAUGGUGCUGAAGAAAAUGUUGAUCAAGUUCCUCGACGACAACCAGCUCAUCCUCGCGUUGCAAAAGAAGUGCAAGUUGAUAAGAUCAUCGAUGACAUUGAAGCACCAGGUCCUCUCACACGCUCAAAAGCUUCACAUUUAUCUAACUUUUGUGGGCACUAUGCUUUUGUCUCCAUCACAGAGCCCACUAAGGUAGAUGAAGCAUUUCUGGAGCCUGAGUGGAUUCAGGCCAUGCAAGAAGAAUUACAUCAGUUCGAGCUCAACAAUGUCUGGGAACUGGUCAAAGGUCCAGAUCCUCACAAGCAUAAUAUCAUUGGCACAAAGUGGAUCUACCGCAACAAGCAAGAUGAAAAUGGCCUUGUGGUGAGGAAUAAGGCACGACUUGUAGCUCAAGGCUACACACAGGUUGAAGAAAUUGAUUUCGAUGAAACUUUUGCACCUGUUGCUAGACUUGAGGCUAUUUGCAUAUUACUUUCUUACGCUAACCAUCAUAAUAUCACUUUAUAUCAAAUGGAUAUGAAAAGUGCAUUCCUCAAUGGUAAGCUUGAGGAAGAGGUAUAUGUUGCUCAACCCCCAGGUUUUGAAGACCCAAAAAAUCCUGACAAAGUCUUCAGACUCAACAAGGACCUCUAUGGCCUGAGGCAGGCCCCUCGGGCGUGGUAUGAUACUUUGAAGGAAUUCUUCAUGAAGAAUGGCUUCACACCCGGUUCACUCGACCCUACUCUCUUUACUAAAUCUUAUGAUGGUGAACUAUUUGUGUGCCAAAUAUACGUUGAUGAUAUUAUCUUUGGCUGUACUCACCAAUGUUAUAGUGAUGAAUUUGCCUAUAUGAUGAGUGAAGAAUAUCAAAUGUCUAUGAUGGGAGAGUUGAAAUUCUUCUUAGGUCUUCAAAUUCAUCAAUAGCACAAUGGCAUAUUCAUAUCUCAAGAGAAAUACCUCAAGGAUGUUUUGAGGAAAUUCGGCAUGCAAGAUUGCAAAGGCGUCAAAAUUCCUAUGCCCACAAAUGGCCAUCUAUGCACUGAUGAAAAUGGUAUUGACUUCGAUCACAAGGUAUACCGCUCCAUGAUUGGUUCUUUAUUGUACUUAUGUGCAUCUAGGCCAGAUAUAAUGCUUAGUGUUUGCAUGUGUGCCCGAUUUUAAGCUACACCAAAGGAAUCACACCAUAAGGCUGUGAAGCAUAUUCUUCAUAUCUAGCUCACACACCAACACUAGGAUUAUGGUACCCCAAGGGCUCUACUUUUGAUCUCAUUGGAUAUUCUGACUCUGACCAUGCUGGUGAUCGUGUGGACCGCAAGUCAACAUCUGGUACUUGUCAUUUCCUCGGACGAUCUUUGGUCUGUUGGUCCUCGAAAAAACAGAACUGCGUAUCACUGUCCACUGCGGAAGCUGAGUACAUUGCUGCUGGUUCUUGUUGUGCUCAAUUGCUGUGGAUGAAGCAAACUCUCAAGGACUACGGCAUCAACGUGAAGAAUGUGCCUCUCUACCAUGACAAUGAGAGUGCCAUCAAGAUUGCUCACAACCCAGUUCAGCACUCGAAGCCAAAGCACAUUCAGAUUUGUCAUCAUUUUCUUCGUGAUCAUGUGUUGAAGGGCGACAUCUCCAUCAAGCAUGUGAAGACUGAAGAACAGCUAGCAGAUAUCUUCACAAAGCCCUUGGAUGAGAAGAGAUUUAUCAAGUUGCGGUGUGAGCUAAAUAUCUUAGAAUCUUCAAAUGUUCUUUGAAAAGGACACACAUCUUGACACUUAUGCAAAAUUGAUGACUUAGAUGUGCAACACAUGAAGAAAGGUUUUUCUUCAAUCAAUGAAGAAUAACACUCUAAGUGUGAAGAAAUUAAUGAAGAAUUUGAUUCUCAGAACCCUACGACAAUUGUACGCGAUGUCUGAAAUCAUCAUUCUUAUACGGUGGGUCACGCCACCACCAAAGUUGAAAAUCUUCAUUUUUGAAAUUCCUCGGUUUUGAAAUUCUUCAGUUUUUCAAAUUCUUCAACUUUGCGAAAUCUUCACUGUUUCCGUCGUUUUUCUUCAUUGGCUAUAUAUAUAUAUAUAUGAGUUUAUGUCCUCUACAGCAUUCACUUAUGGCUAUUUCUUCAAGUUGUUUUUUCUGCUAAGUGAAUGUGAUCGGACCCUUCCCUCUCUAUGCUAUACUCAACCCAAUCUAUUCAUAAAUUCUUCAUGUGCGUUCUAUUUGAAGCUCGUUCAAAAUCUUCACUGAGUCCUUAUCAGCUGAAGAAUUUGCGAACGGAACUUUUAACUAAUCUUAUCCAAAAUUUUCGGUUUUGCCGCUCAAACCGUUCCGCAUCCCACGAUAGAUUUAUCUAUUCACCCACGAUCUAACACGAUCUCCACUUCUUAGUACGUGGGUGACACAUGUCAAGCGGAUGAGAAGGGUCAGGGGCAUGUUCGUCCUAAAUCUUUGGGCAAACAGUUUUUCACUGCGACUAUAAAUACCCCUCUCCCCUUCCUCACUUUCUUUACUCCACUCGACCGCUCUCUCUCUCUCGCUCGAGCUUCUCAAACCCUAGCACUGCCGCUACUCCAUCGUCGCCGGUGAGGAAGAGCUUCACUGCCUCGACCUCGUCGCCGUUGUACUCGCGCUGGCCGCGGAAAUCUUCACCCCGCCGCCACCGUAGCUGUCUUCCUCUGCCGAGUUAGGGCGUGGAAGAUCUGAACUGACGAGCUUCAAAUCUACACUUCUCAGUUCGUCGUGUUCUUCAUCCAGGGUAAUUAAAAGUUACUUUUACUGCCCUCUUUGAUUCAAAUUUUCUCUACAAAAUCUUCAAAGGUGUUUUAUUCUUCAAAUCCUCACAAACAAAACACCUCACUAGUCAUCUGUUCUUGAUUCGUUUCUCUAAGCAUAAUUUUUCUUCAAGAUUCCUCAAUUGUGUGGAUCCUCGAUCUAUACAACUCUGGAACCUAAGACAAAGAACGCUUAGUGAAAAUCUUCAAGGCUCAUCUGGUCAAAUUCCUCAAACUUGAUUUUUUUUGAAAAACUUUCUGAGAACGCAUAUGACCUCUCCAAAUUCCUCGCAACUAUACUCUGUUCACAGGUACUCAUGUCCGCUGCUGAAUCACUAGGUUUUCAUCAACUUAACUCAUUUGCAGCGUUCCUCGAAGAAAAGUUGCAUACUUCUUCAGAGAAUUCGAUUGUUCAAAUUCCUCAACUGAAGAAUAUGGCAGACGGUAAGAAGCCACAGAAAGGAGGAAAGAGGCCUGAGGUCAUGACUGCAUUUGAAAUACCUGAGGACAUCUAUGCUGACUAUUGCACACCUGAUGAGGCCAAGUUCGGAAAGGAGAACAAAACUCAGCGCAAGGUGCGCAUACAGAGGAUUGAAAGGAGAUGAGCAAGAGAAUGGAGGGAGUACAGAUAUGUAACUCCGAAGUAUAUGAAGAAAUUCGCACUAAAUCCUUCAUGCCCAAGAGCUCCAUUGGCACCUGGCCAAGAAGCUGACCCCACCAGCAUCAAGCGUGGUGAGGAUUUUCCUGAAGAAUUGGCCAAACGCCAAGCCAAGUUGGCGAGACAAGCCAAAGAAGCAAUGAGUAAAUUCAAUGAAGACUCUGCUACUGCUGCUGCCACUGAGGCCUCUGUCAAGCCUAGAAAAUCAAUGGCAAAGAAGCCCGCUCACAAGCCAAGUGCUUCACCAACUAUGCCCUCACGGCCAAGUUCCUCAGCAAUGCCCUCACGGCCAGAUUCUUCCAAGCCCUCACAACCAGAUUCUUGAAAGCCCUCACGGCCAGUUCCUCAUGCUGCUCCUGCUCCUCCAAAAUCCUCAGCUCCUCCCCCAAAGUCCUCAGCUGCUCCGGCAAAAUUCUCAACACCUGUACAUCUGGCCACGUGCCAAAGGACUACAAGCAUCUCUAUUGCCUUUGGUGCCUCAACGAGUUCCUCAGCUGCACCAAAAUCUUCAUCAGGCCCCACUCUGCUGAAGACAAAGGCAACGGCUGGUCGAGGUCCUCGGCCAAGUCUGAAGAAGAAAUAGGUUGCCUUACAAGUGCCAUCUGACGAUGAAGCUGAUGAUGAUGAACUUGCAGAAAUCAUCAGAGAUAGACAAGAAAGGGCCGCUAGAGCCAAAGGCACAAAUGUGGCACUCCUUUUGGAUCCAAGGGCGAUCCUCGAUUACAUCGAUCUCUGGCACAAGGAUCCAAACACCCCUAUGCCUGAUUUUCAUUUGACUCCUAGCCAAAGUCACAUGCUGACCCAUUUCAUCACUAAAGAGAAAUGGAAAUUUGAGAAGGCUAGGCAGAUCAAAAAGGCUUAGUUCAGGAAAGAGAAGUUCCUGAGGAAAAACGUUGUCAAAAUGACAAUUGAUGAACUCCUCAAGAUCCAGUCUGAAAUCAAAGCCCUCAACGAUGAUUUCAAUGCUUAUUAUGCUGAUUGGCAAGGAGCCAAAGUCAGGUUCGUUAAACUGACUGAUAAGUUCACCAAUGUUGCAGCCCCAUCGCAACAAGAAAUUCCUCAAGCUGGAGCUUCUGCUCAGCCAACUGAAGAACAUGCCAGCACCGCUGAUGACUUCCAGGCUGCUGAUGAAAAUGAUAGUUCCAGGGCUGAUGACUCCAUUCCAGCCGCUGAAAAAAUUGCCAGGGCAUCCACUAGUGAUGCGCCUGAAGAAACUGAAGAAGUCAGGACAACUGCAUCAGUUUCGCCUAAGAAAGUUCAAACAAAUUCCUCAGCUCCUCCUGCGCCUACACCAACUCAUAUCCUUCCAUCUGCAUUAGAUGUGAGGAAGAUCAAGGCUGCAGAGCGAGCUACAGUGAAGAAAAGUAAAGCAUCAGCUGCUUCAGAUUCUUCAGCUCCGAAGAAAAUGAAGCCUAUGACAAGCUUGCCUGAAAAUCCAAUUGAUGUUGUUCCGAUUUCCACCAUGCCAUCAAAGGACCUUGUUCCUUUUGGUGAAGAAUAUGUGAUCCCCAGCGGAUCUGAUGAAGAAAAUCAUUCUGCUGCUUCGUCAGAGCAGAUUGAUGAAGAAAUUGAAGUGGAUGCGAUCCCUUCAACGCCUGUUUCCUCGCCAAUGCCUCAGUUCACAGCUGAAGAGGCUGGCGUUGAAGAAAUUAAACAUGAAGACAUGGACAUUGGCUGCACAACGCCCGUGAUGAAUGAUGACUUUUGGGAAAGUCAGCACCCCAAUUCUCCACUCUUCACCCCAAUACAACAAAUAACUCAGUCCCCUGCACCAACCGUUCAAAUGGGCUCUGAAGAAACUCAUCCCACCUCAUUUGUGCAUGAAGAAAUUCGAGCCACUAGUGCUGAAGAAACUGCUGCUGCUGAUCCUUUGAACAUGCAGACUGCCACUGAGGCCCUCUUUGUUUGGGCUAGAGAUUGCUGAGAAUCAGCUGCCACUUGGAUUUCAAAAAUCCGCUACAGCUCCAGAUUUUGAGAAUCCAAAUCUGACUGUUUGUUUACCCCGGUUUUGGAAAAACAAAAUGUUGUGAAGUGUCUACAACGCCCCUGAUGUUGUCGAGUGCAGGACGCCGGAGAGGGGCGGCGUACGCAGAAAUCGGGGCGGUGUGUGCAUCGCUGGUGGAGCUCGUGGGCAGCGGCGGAGACGGAGCUUGCUGGCCGGAAUACGGGGUGGACGGAUCCGCCGUCCUGUAGGCGAGCAGGCUGGCAUACGCGGAGAUCAGGGACGGCGCAUUGCUGGCGGAGCUCGUGGGCAACGACGGAGACGCAGCUCGGUAACCGGAAUACAGGGAGGGACAUGCAUGGUGGUGUCAGAUUCGGCCAUCCUGGAGUCGACGGGCCUCGGGAAGGUGGUGGAGGAGGCAGGGGUUGGUGGCCGGAAUACAUGCUUUUGCUCAGGUGAGAAAGAACGAGGGGACAGAGAACCUGUCGUGGGGAGAUUUGGAUAAUGGCAAGGAGAUUUGGAUAAGGGCAGCAGUGGCAUUCCUGGUGUAAUAAUGGGGAUAACUUGGUCUAGACUUUAACUUGGGUAAGUGGCCGCUCGGGAAUCGCCCGAAUCACUAGAUUCGUAGCUUCCGGCUUGGACUUGCGUGGUAGUUGAUUUCCAGAAGCAAUUCUAGGAAGCUUGUGUGAGAAUCUGUGUGUUUGUUUUAGUUUCUGAUUUUGUGAGGCAUAGAAUCUAGAAUCAAUAGCUACAGCUCAAACAAAGGCCACCUGAAGAGGAACCAGAAAUUCCUCAGCCUGAAGAACCUAAAAUUGCGAUUCCUGAGGUAGUGAUGCAACUCACUAACACUCCUCUGCCAAAACCAAAGGAUCCAUUCUAAAAGAAGCAAAAGUUCAAGGCUGAAGAUUUCUUCAGCGAGCAUGUGUUCUUCACAGAUUACAACCCCUAUGAUUCUGCUCGCAUAAGAAUGAGGUGUUUCUGGACGGCCAGCCAGGCCAAUUUCUAUUCCUCAGUGUUGUUCAACAAAGAUAAAGUCUUCGAUCAUGAACACAUUCCUCACGUGGACAUGGAAUCUCUGUCGGGCUUCGAGCCAGUCCUCAGUGUUCUUCAUGAUGCUGGAUUGCUGAAUUUCUGCACUAACAUCUGUGAUUGGAAUGAAGAACUCAUUCUUCAAUUCUAUGCGAUGCUGCACAUCAUAGGAAAUUCUAAAGAUGUGAAUUCAUGGGUGCUGGACUGGAUGUCUGAAAAUACUCACUACAAGGCACCAGCUACUGAAUUGCUUCGUGUCUUACCACUCAGUCCUUCCCUUGACGGUGCUCAUUGCGUCUACAGUGAACCUGAGCUUUCAAAUCAUUACAUGCAAGUGCUGAUGAAGCCUUUGAAGCCAGGGCAGGCCCCUCGAACCAAAUUCCUCGUCAAGGAAUUACUGUAUGUGCCUCGGACAGUCUAUCGCAUUCUGAAAAAGACAAUGAGUCCUAUCAAAGGCCACGACUCAAAUGAUGAAGAAGUCAUUGGCAUCAUGAAGAAUAUGCUUUUCAAUAUCAUUCAUGGCGUUUCCGUCAACUUCCAUGAUUUCUUCAUAAGGACUCUGGCGAAUAUUGCUAUGUCACCAUUUGAGCUGAAGCCUUAUGCACCAUGGAUUAUGAGGUUCAUCAGGACAAGGUCUUCACUCAAUUACAAGGCUAACAUGAACCACGGCAGCUACUUGCCUCCAAUUGAAGUCCUCAAACGGACAUUUUCCUCAGCUGAUGACAAAGGCAAGGCAACUGUUGUGAUAGAUGAAGGCAUUCGUCCAUUGGAUGGUCAAUUUCACAAGGCUGCAUCCUACUCCACCAAUGAUGACUCUGCCACACAUGACUCUGCCGCCAAGCAAAAUUCUCAAGCCACAUCACCCAGGGUGAUUACUGAUCGUGAGUUACUCCUCAGUCUUCAUCAGAAAGUUGAUCGCAAUCAUAAAUGGGUCAAGCGUCAGUUUGGUUCAAUUCUUCACAAUAUGACAUCAACACACAAUGCAGUGAAGAAAAACCACUACUAUCUCCAUGAAACCUUCAACCGUACCUGGGCUGUUCUAUCUCAUGUCUACAACGCAAAAGAUCUGAAGAAAAUGGGUCUCAAGGAAGAAUUUGACUGGUCUGCACCUCCACCGAAGAAAUUCAAGAAGGUCAAGGUUCCUUCCUUGGUGGCCAGCUCCUAUUCUUCAUCGCGCGACACUGAUGAAAAUGAAGACUUGGAUGACACUACGGCGGGCCAUACUACGACAACCGACCCCGACAACGCUGGCGCUCCUCCAUCAACUUGAUAAUCUUCAGGGGCGUUAGUCCUCAGUUUCGAUCCUUUUGGUCAUUCGAUGACAAAGGGGGAGAAAUUUGAGUUAGUCUUCAAACGGGUCUAUUAUAUGGGCGAUUUUGCUAAGUUACAACUCUCGUUCUUCUGAAACUUUAUUGGAUCGAGUUGUAAUCUUAAACCCGAUGGUGCUUUGAUACUUUUGAUGCACUGUGCUCUGAUACUCUUGAUGCGUUAUUCUGCAUGCUUGUUCCUCAUUAAUAUUAUUGCACGCAUGCUGAAUUUCAUCAGGCACCAUAUUUUAUCAUGCAUUUCAAAUUCUUCAUAUUAUAUGUCAAAUGCGUGUAUGAAUUACAAGAUAUAGGGGGAGAUCUCCAUGAUUCUACUCUUCAAAUGUGCAUUGCCUCAAAAGCAAAUUCCUUACUAUGCACAUCUUCAUGGGGAGUUCUUCUAUAUCUUGCAAUCAAAUUCCUCAAUAUCAGUACUUGCACUUCAUAUGUUUAUCCCCGUUGAAAACUUAACAUAUAUUGUCAUCAAUCACCAAAAAGGGGGAGAUUGUAAGUGCAUCUAGUGCCCCUUAGUGAUUUUGGUGUAUUGAAGACUUAUAGGUUAAGGGACUAAUGUGUUUAUGAGUGCACACAUGUCUAUAAGUCUAUGAGAAGUUUGAUAUUUACAGAGAAAGUCGACCCCUAAAAAUGAAGUUCUUCGACUAAAUACUUUGAUAUUCUGAAGACUUUCUGAAGACUUUGAAAGUGAAGAAAUCGGUGUGACCUUGAAGACUUGGAAUUCAUUUGAGGAACAUGAAGCGUGAAUACUUUUGUUUUCGUUGUUUCGUUUUCUCUUUCUUGAGUCAUAGGAAACACCGUACUGUUAAAGGGGGUCGAGGAAAUACUAAAGAAAAAUUUCCAUGUGAUGCUCAACUCAAAAUCCUACACCUACCAAACCCUUCGAAUGAAGCCUUUGGAAAUCUCAUACAGUUCAGUCAAUUUCUUCAAUGACAGAGACGAAGUUCUUCUGGUCGCUGAGGAAUUUGUUCGGACUGAGGAGUUAGGAAUUCGCUAGUGCGGAUUGCCUACACAGUGAGGAACAUGAUAGCCCUGAGGAAUUUGAGAGUCAAAUUUCUGACCGUUGCUGUGAUGCGCGCCAGCUAUUCCAAAAUAUCUUAUCCACCUAACAGUCAUAUCAUUGAGGGCAUUUAUGUCUUAUCAUGUCGGGCUGCUCCCUAGGCUAUAAAUAGCCGCCCCCUACAACCACUAGCUGGUUGGCUGCUCCGAGAGAAACUGACACUUGUCAUUUGAGAGCAUCCCAUCCUCCGAGGACUUUGAGCGAAAAUCAUUGAGUGAGGAAAUACCCAAACCCAAACACCUACAAACCCAAAGUGAUUGAGCAUCACUGAAGAUUGAUCCUGCGUGGAUCCAACGCUUGUUACCUUUGAAGACUGUGCUUCUUCCAGACGGUUAGGCGUCAUGGUCUAGAGCAUCCAAGAGGAAUUAUGGAUCGCCGAGUGACCGAGUCUGUGAAGGUUUGGAAGUCGCCUGAAGACUUACCACGAGUGAUUGGACGAGAUCUGUGUGACCUUAGUUCAAGGAGAAUACGGUGAGUACUUGGUGUCCUAAGCUGCAUGCUCAGCGACUGGGUGUCCAGGACUGUGUGUCCUCGAGUUUAAAUACUCAGCCGCUCCAACCAGACGUACAACUGAGACAACAGUUGGAACUGGUCUACCAAAUCAUUGUCUUCACCAACCUUACUGGUUCUAUUUCCUCAACUCUUUCAUUUCCUAAUUACUGUGUUGAGUGAUUGUUCAUAUCUGUGUUUUGAAUACUUUGACUGAAGACUUUCUCAAUUUCCUUAGUGCAAUUUCUUCAAUCUGUUUGUCUUCAUCUUGUGUUAUCCUGUGAUUACGCUUUCUGUACUCUGUGCUUGUCUUCAUUUUAUCAUGAUGACUAUGUCUGUAUCCUGUUAUGCUUACUUCUGAGUACUUAUUCCAUUGCAAGUAGUUCUUCGCUAAGGAAUUUCCUCACCUGCAAAUUCCUCAGUGAAGAAUUCAUAAAAAUCGCCUAUUCACCCCCCCUCUAGUCGAUAUAACGCACUUUCAUGUUGAAGCAGGGAAUUAUAAGGAGAAUUGGCAAUGGACGGUCUACAGAAAUAUGGAGACACAACUGGCUACCGUGCCCGGCCUGAUGAGACCUAUUCCGUCUUUGAUAAAUAAUCCACCAAAGUUGGUGUCCAACUUGAUAAACACAUCAACAACAUCUUAGAAUGAGCCUUUGGUGCGUCAGGUUUUCUUGCCAAUCGAUGUUGAGGCAAUUUUGCCGAUCCCCCUAUGUACCGGAAAUAUUGAUGAUUUAUGAUCAUGGAGCAUCGAGAAACGAGGUAUGUUCACUGUCAAAUCAGCUUAUAGAAUGAUACUUCAUAUGAAAAUCACAAGGGAAAAUUGGAUAGAUGAGGUUGAGGGUUCGUCUGGUGCUGACCGGGAAACAAAUGAGUGGACAAAGCUUUGGAAGAUUGAACUUCCAUCAAAAUUGAAAAUGUUCCUGUGGCGACUGGCUAGAUGCUUAAUGCCAACUGCGGAUCUUCUUCAACACAAGAAUAUGGCUACAUCGGCGACUUGUAGAUUAUGCGGCACUAGAGACUCUUGGAGACACGCGCUUAUAAACUUUUCGAUGGCAUGCAUUAUGUGGGCUUUAGGUGAGGAAGAAAUAGUUGAAACGACGUGCCAGAAUGAGAGCGAUAAUGCAAAGGACCGGAUUUUCCAAAUGAACACCGAGCUAUCACAUGAACAACUAGUUCGUAUGGUGAUCACGCUAUGGGUUAUUUGGGGAGCAAGAAGAAAAAGCAAUUUACGAGGAUAUUUUUCAAAGCCCAAUGUCAGCACACUCAUUUAUUCAGUCCUAUUGGAGUGAUCUCCAGGUCCUGACGAAACCACACUUCCAGCACUCACAUACCAGGCCGGCGAGGCCGUCCCAUUGUAUCCAACCGCCGGAGCACAUGAUGAAGGUGAACAUGGAUGUUGCUGUGGCGGGACGAAGAGGUGUGGGCUCAGUGGCAGCGAUAUGCAAAAACAAGGAUGGACUCUAUAUAGGUGCUUCAUGGUGGUAUUCAGAGGUAUAACUGGUCCCACAACUCUAGAAGCUCUUGCGGUGAGGGAGGCUAUGGCAUUGGCGGAUGACCUAAACUUACAAUCCAUACACGUGGCUUCAGAUUGCUUGGUGGUGAUAGAUGAUCUAAAGAGGAAGAGUGGGGCUGGUUACAGUGCUAUCAUACAUGAAAUACUAGAGUACUCUACUGGUUUUACUUAGUGUAAUUUUGUUCAUGAAUUUAGGAGCUCGAAUGUCGAAGCUCACAAUCUAGCAAAGCAUGCACUUAAACUGGGCCACCCUAGGGAUCUUCAUUUCGUCCAUGUAAACUAUGUGACAGAUCAAUAAAGCUUUGUUGAUUGUCUCAAAAAAAGCAAAAGUUGAGGAGAAUCCCCUCAAAAAAGAAAAAGGAAAGCUAGUGGUCAACCGGCGCGGAAAUCCGUUGGUGCUCCUGGGAGCGCGCUCUCCUGUCACCGGAAAAAUAUAUUUCAAAGUGUGAAAAAAAUCAAAUAAGAAUUCAGCGCAUACAUCUCGACAUUAUAUGUGUGCACGUCAAGUUUCGGUGAAAACCGACAUUUUUUGUGGCUUGUGUAAAAAAGACAAAAAGAUGUCUUGUGAAAAGCACUUUUUAAAACCGGAUUUUGUCUUUUUUACACGCGACACAUAACUUGUCGGAUUUUCGCGAAACGACUUUGUGAGCAUGUACAAUAUCGAGAUGUACACGCCAAAUUUUUGUUUGAAAUUAUUGACAUUUUAAAAUAUGUUUAAAAUAUAUUUUAAAAACCAGGAGCGCACGCUCUCCCAUGUGCCAAAACAUCACUCUCCCAACCGGCAGAUCUUUUAUCUCACAUCCGUCAUGUUCUACGCUUGACACGCAUGUUAAUGAGCGAGCACAACGCUUCUCUCCUUCAUCCAUAUCUCCACCUAAAUGGCCGCAUAUAUUUAUCUCUCCUAUCCAUGCGUUGAACCAAACCUUCACCCGCAACCUUUUUCUCGAUCUCAUCUGACCAUGCAGAGCGCUCCGUACUCCAGUUCUUGCAACUCCACAUAUCAUUCCACCUCCUGGACUUCACGCCGAAUGCAAUGGCGUGCAUGACGAUUUUCGUCCACUUAUGCAAGAACUUUGUCGGGGUCGCCCCCAAUGUGGAUUUUUUCAGGCACUACUUCGUCCCGUGGGUGGAGAACAAUGCUCACCAUUCCGGGAAUAUAAGCUGGAUACCUCGGGUGGCGAGGGAAAAUUGGGAUUACCUCUCUGGUCAGCAGCGUGGCCAAUGGGAGGAGUGGUGGGCCGACUGGUGCUGGAUCCAAGAUGAGGAGGCUUUAGAGUUUUGCGAGGCGUGGACAGAGUGUGUUGUGUGGGGCAACAACUAGAGGGAAUUUGGCCUCACUGAUGACAGGCUCCACCCGGCAAUAAACAAGAUUACCCGUCUAAAGGCUGCCGGGCUAACCACCGGGCCUGUGGGGGACGAUUUCCUCUGGCGCCGCAUCGCACCACUGCAGAAGAGGGACAGUUUUGCCUGUAGGGGAUGGAGUGGAAACUUUCUUUUUUUCUGGAGAAAAAAUGAAAACGGAGAGGAAAUAUGAAAAUGGAAAUGAAAAUUUGCAAAACGGAAACGAAAAUGGAAUUUUUUAUAUGUGGAAAUGGAAACAAAAACGGAACGACAUUUUCCGGUGGAACAGACGUGGAAAUGGAACUUUCCGUUUCCGUGACUAUGGAAUUUCUGUUUUUACUAUAGGCCUAUAGCUGCUUUGUGGCACUAGGAUCAAACAACACACAAGGACACAAUAAGCAAAAUGGAUUAUUUACGUCCAACUUUUACUACCACACGUGUACUUAACUAAUCAUAUACGCAAUUGUCAUGUACUACUACAAUACAAUGCUAAGUUGUUAACAUAAUCAUAUUAUUUUAUAGCCAUACUAAGAAUACUAGGCCCGUAAGGGUUUCUUUUUCCUGUUUUUUGGAAUUUUUUUACUGUGUUUCUUUGAUUGACGUGUGUACAAGAUGGUCUCCUAGGGUGUCAUUGAGUUGAUUUUUUCCUGCGGUCACAUUUUGUUCACUGUUGACAUUGCCACGCUGUGUGCUCUUGCUUAUUGACACAUGUGCUGUGGGGUCUCCUAGAAGGUUCAUCUUUUCCUUAAAAAAGUUUGGUCGACUGUGUGAUGGGAUGGCUGAAUUCAUGUGGCCGUUCUAGAAGUAUGUGGAUUGGUGUUGUUCCACAUGCCUUUGCAUGUCUCAUGCAUGUGGCCACGUUGGCUCCAUGCAUCGUUGACUGCCUAUGCCAUCAAUUGACACGUUGCUCUCUGGUCUUUUCUUGUGGGUUCAUUUUGUUUUCUUCUCUUCUUUUGGGUGCCUAUAAGUACUUUCCUUGUCCGGUCUUCGCUUAGUGUUAUAUCCCUCUUGUUGUGUCCUUCCUGUUCGCUUGGUACAGCGUAUUCGCUCCACGCCGUUGGGUUCCUCUUCCUCGGUUGGUGCCGCUGAUGGGAGGUAGCUUGCUCAAGAUGGUUCUGUUCAGCACACGCGGAGUCGUUGUCGGUGCGCUCGACCACGGCAAGGAGGGCGUCAACCCCGUGGACCACGCGGGAGCAGGAUCAGCGUCGGCCAUGUCCUCGCCGGGCGCCCAUUCGUGGCACACGCCAGCGUCGCGGCCAGCCACAGCGGACACCCUCAUCUCUCCAAGGGAGUGACACAACAUCGCCGACGCGGCAGGGCACGGACUGGACGCUCGGGCUCGGGCUACCCCAGCUCCUCGGCGGCUCCUCCUCCAUCGCGACGGGCGGGCGACUCGACCUGGUGAUGAAGGUGGCGAGGGCCAUGGCGAGUAGUGUAGCAGAGAAGGAUUAGGAGGAAUGAUUCACCACGCUUUGAUUAAGCUCACGGCUGGGUCUUAUGUACAGGUUACAAGGCCAGCCAGGGAGAUCAUGGGGUGAUCCACUACCUGGGAUCGUGCGCCACGAUCACUACAAGCGUGCGCCACGAUCAUAUACACACACGCUACACCUGAUGUCUACACAACUACGGUAUAGCAGUAUAAUACAGUCUAACACCCCCCGCAGUCGUGACGUUGGCGUUGGCAACGCAAAGACUGGACCGAAACUCAGAGAAAACAUCCGAUGGCAAGCCUUUGGUCAUGAUGUCGGCGAGUUGUUGACGCGUGGGGAUGUGAAGAACACGGAAGUGGCCGAGGGCGACGCGCUCGCGCACGAAGUGGAUGUCGAGCUCCACAUGCUUGGUGCGGCGAUGGUGCACCGGAUUGGCUGACAGGUAGACUGCGGACACAUUGUCACAGUACACCAGCGUCGCCUUGGUCACCAGAGCGGAGAGCUCGCCGAGGAGCUGACGGAGCCAGAUGCAUUCAGCAACCGCGUUGGCGACCCCGCGGUAUUCAGCUUCGGCACUGGAGCGUGAAACGAUCGCCUGGCGCUUGGAGGACCAGGAGACGAGAGCAUCGCCGAGGAAGACGCAGAAGCCCGACGUGGAGCGGCGGGUGUCGGGGCAGCCGACCCAGUCCGCGUCGGUGAGCGCACGGACGUCGAGCGUGGCGGAGGCUCGAAGGUGAAGCCCAAGAGCGCAGGUGCUCUUCACGUACCGGAGCACGCGUUUGACGAGCGCGAGAUGGCAUUCACGCGGGUCAUGCAUGUGCAAGCGGAUUUGCUGAACGGGCGUAGGCGAUCUCCGAGCGCGUGAUGGUGAGGUACUGCAGGGCCCCGGCGAUGCUCCGAUAGGCCAAGGGGUCGUCGACGCAGGGCCCAUCGGCGGAGGGGAGUUUGCUCUUCGUGUCGAUGGGUGUCGGGGAAGAGCGGCAGGUGUCCAUGCCGGCACGUUCCAAGAGUUCAUCAGCAUAUUGUUGUUGCGACAGGAAGAAGCCAGCAGGGGUGCGGGUGACGCGGAUGCCGAGGAAGAAGGCGAGAGAGCCCAGGUCCUUCAUGGUGAACUCGCCGGUGAGGCGCUGGAUGACAUGGUGAAGCACGCGCGGCGACGACGCGGUGAGCACGAUGUCGUCGAGGUAGAGAAGCAGGAACGUCGUGUCGUCGCCGUGACGUCAACGCCGUGGGCCUCGCGGGAGCAGGAUCCGCGCUCGGCCCCGUCGUCCGUGGCACACCCCCUACUCACGGCCAACCACAACGGACAACGUCAUCUCUCCAUGGAGUGGCACGCCGUUGCCGACGCGGCUGCAUGGCCGAGGCACUCGAGCUCCGCCCCCUCUUCGGCGCACCCGCCCGCUAGCUCGGCGGUUCAAUCUCGGGCGUGACUGGUCUCCGAGGCAGAGUCGUCGUCGGCACACUCGACCUGAUGGAUGGGGACGGCAAGGGCAAGGAGGGCAUCACGGACGAGCUCAGGCACCUAGACUUCUUCUUCCGUCACCCCACGCGUUGUGUUGAUCCAAUCCUUCAUUGCUCAAAUUUGUGUUCGCGAGCUGCAGGUUUCAGGAUGCUCAUCGACAUGUACAGACCGUCCUCCACCUUUUGUCUCAGAAGUCUCGAAUCAAAACUGUGGUUCACAUCGUAAGCGUCGAGCACUCUGAUUGAUUGCUUCCUCUGCCUAUCUUGACUGUCCACAAAGGUUGACCUACUCUGAUUGAUUGCUUACUGUCUUCACUGACAUCAAUGGUCGAUCUCUAUACAUAUGCAGGGUCUUCUAUCUACUGGCAAAAGAACUCAAAGCAUGCUAUAUUGUUAUGAUUUAUCACUGCUAUAUUGUUAGACUACUGCCUCACUAGGGAAUGAAUUUGCAGGGUAAUUCUGUACAGAGUUCAUUUAUUCAGUAAAUGCAUAUGUAGAAACAUCUGUGACUUCUGCCUCACUAGGGAAUGAAUACUAAGAAUUUGCUCUAGAAGCCGUGUGAGGGUAGAGAUAUACGACUGGAAGUAGGUUCCUGUGAUUGAAACUGUACAGGGUGAUUUCUCACGCUUCUGUACCUCUCAUUUUAUAGGCAAGCACAGUUUGCUCUUUUAAGCCACCAUUCAGAUUUUCUGUGAACAGAAUACCCUCCAAUUUCUCAUUCUUCUACUAUUCCGUUGUGCAAUAACCUUUCAAAAAGAAAAACUCUGGCUACAGAAAGCUGCAUGUAUAAUGAUGCAUAUAAUUAGCCAUGGCAAAAAUAUAUAUUUAGUUGCCACUGUAUUGUUACAUGUGAACCACAACAAAACAGGUACUGCAAAGAAGAACAAAUUCACACCUCUUUGCUGCUGUUCUAUCACAUAUCAACAGUGAACACUAGGAUUGAUUGCGUUUAUUAUAUGAUAUAAUGUAAUGUAAUUAGGCUUAUACAAUGUAAGCAGGCGUAUACAAUUUGUGUGUUUCUGCUGACGUAGCUUACCUUGACAGAGGAGGAAAGAGCAUGGCUGCCGUCUUUGUCAGGCUCACGGUGCAGAAGUUCUUGAGGAAGCACAAAACGUCCCAUGUCGAACCGCGGGCUGACAUGGUGUGAGAAUUGCCCUUAGCUGAAGAAAGGGGGAUUAUAGACACAUGGAGAUGUAGCACUUGGGUGAGUAGGUACCUGCACGACUUGUGAAUGGUCCGAAAUCUGAACCGUGAACCUCCCAUGGAUACUUGCAGCGUCUAGCUAGCUCUGACCGCCGCCGCUCCCCAAUGGUGAGCAUGUCGGAGAUCCCGUAAUCACCACGCCCUACCCUGCCGCUUCCUCUUCUCCUCUGGCUUUGGCGGCCUCGCUUUCAGGCAAGGAGCACUCGAUUGCCUCUUCUCCUCUGCCUCUGGCGGCCUCGCUUCCUCCCUCCUAUUCUUCCGAGCUCAUCACCCUGUCCGCCGACUUCUCCCUCUCUAAGCCACCCUCUACCUCGAGAGAACCACGUACCUCGCCGGGCGUGCUGCGCAGGCAGACGAGGACCACUCGAGUCCUACUGCGGGCUGAGAGGAGACGGAGGAGCCACGGCGAGGGGCGGCAUCGAGCCGGCAAUGCGAGGAACAAAUGAGAUAGGGAGAACGGGGAAUGGUGGAGGUGGGGAAUAGGCAGGGAGAUUCGAGAAGCUACACAGUGAGAGUGGAUCUCAGUCCACACCACCGCUGCGGUCCAGUCCAAGUGCAGCUAGCUAAGCACACCACGAGAAGAUGCGCGGCCAGGAUUGUGCCGCGUGCGGGAGGGUCAGACCGAACGUCAGCGUAAUAGGGUCAGUUUUCUUUGCAAUAUGUAGAACAUGCGAAAAAAGUAAGAUAAUCUAGAGCACACAAAAACGAGAACAAUUGGUAUGGAAUAGUGAUGCUUACAUUUAUUCUCAUUUAAGUUCCUUUGAGAAAAUUUGACAUAUUAUAGUAGUCGACGUUUGUGAAGUCUUAACCACUGUCUAAGAUAUUUGUUUUACCAUUUUGUAAUCAAGUUAGAAAUAUUUGAAACAUACUACAUUCUUUCGUGACCUUUUAC